GACGAACGCUGGCGGCGUGCCUAAUACAUGCAAGUCGAACGCAGUGGGGACGGGUGAGUAACACGUGGGUAACCUCCCAUCAGAGGGGAUAACACUUGGAAACAGGUGCUAAACCGAUACUGAUGGAUGGACCCGCGGUGCAUUAGCUAGUUGGUGAGGUAACGGUGCACCAAGGCGACGAUCCCUAGUUGGUCGUAGAGGACGACCAGCAACACUGGGACUGAGAGACGGCCCAGACUCCUACGGGAGGCAGCAGGAGGGAAUCUUCGGCAAUGGACGGAAGUCUGACCGAGCAACGCCGCGUGAGUGAAGAAGGUUUUCGGAUCGUAAAGCUCUGUUGUUAGAGAAGCGGUAACUAACCAGAAAGGGACGGCUAACUACGUGCCAGCCGCCGCGGUAAUUC
Molecule: ribosomal RNA, 403 nt
Filed under: uncultured bacterium
Lineage: Bacteria
Description: partial 16S ribosomal RNA
Rfam family: Bacterial small subunit ribosomal RNA
Source: RNAcentral